UGGGGAAUAUUGGACAAUGGGCCACAAGCCUGAUCCAGCAAUUCUGUGUGCACGAUGAAGGUCUUCGGAUUGUAAAGUGCUUUCAGUAGGGAAGAAUAAAUGACGGUACCUACAGAAGAAGCGACGGCUAAAUAUGUGCCAGCAGCCGCGGUAAUACAUAUGUCGCAAGCGUUAUCCGGAUUUAUUGGGCGUAAAGCGCGUCUAGGCGGUUUACUAAGUCUGAUGUGAAAAUGCGGGGCUCAACUCCGUAUUGCGUUGGAAACUGGUAGACUAGAGUACUGGAGAGGUGGGCGGAACUACAAGUGUAGAGGUGGAAUUCGUAGAUAUUUGUAGGAAUGCCGAUGGAGAAGUCAGCUCACUGGACAGAUACUGACGCUAAAGCGCGAAAGCGUGGGGAGCAAACA
This 404-nucleotide ribosomal RNA is filed under the name uncultured bacterium. RNAcentral describes it as "bacterial SSU rRNA". It matches the Rfam family "Bacterial small subunit ribosomal RNA", at positions 355 to 774 of the family's 1533-position model. The record is from RNAcentral.